RNAcentral lists this unclassified non-coding RNA (476 nucleotides) under Hevea brasiliensis (rubber tree). Lineage: Eukaryota; Viridiplantae; Streptophyta; Magnoliopsida; Malpighiales; Euphorbiaceae. The record is from RNAcentral.
GUCCGGUUCAGAGUAGUCAGCUUUGGCCUCAAAAUCUGCAAGAUCUAGGAGCUUAUGCUGAACUAGAACGUUUCGAUAAUUCCAAUAUGCCUGAUGUUGAUUUGACCUUCCAAAACUUUGAAGAACUCUUCGGUGAGGAUCAGUAUCUGAACAACACUCUUCUCGAGGAGGAUAUGACAUGUUCAUCUAUGGAGAAUGAUUCAUCGAUCGAUAGAUCAGAUUACAGCUACGUUAAGAAGGACAUAUCAACAGCUUCAUCGGUUCGUACAGGACAUUCAACUCACUUUGGCCAAGCCCACGGUGAGCACAUUCCCACGAUCAAGGACUGUCCUCCGCCUAUAAGAACAAACUUUUCCUCCUUGUCCUUCUCAGCAUCAAGGCUGAGCAGUGAAAGCAGUGGUAACGAGUACGUGGAUUCACCAGCUGCCAACGAUCAGGAGGUUUCAUGUAAUUCACAGAUGGACAGUAAAAAGAAG